UACGGAAGGCAGCAGUGGGGAAUAUUGGACAAUGGGCGCAAGCCUGAUCCAGCCAUGCCGCGUGUGUGAAGAAGGCCUUCGGGUUGUAAAGCACUUUUGUCCGGAAAGAAAAGCUUAGGGUUAAUAACCUUGAGUCAUGACGGUACCGGAAGAAUAAGCACCGGCUAACUUCGUGCCAGCAGCCGCGGUAAUACGAAGGGUGCAAGCGUUACUCGGAAUUACUGGGCGUAAAGCGUGCGUAGGUGGUUUGUUAAAGUCUGAUGUGAAAGCCCUGGGCUCAACCUGGGAAUGGCAUUGGAAACUGGCUUACUAGAGUGCGGUAGAGGGGUGUGGAAUUCCCGGUGUAGCAGUGAAAUGCGUAGAUAUCGGGAGGACAUCUGUGGCGAAGGCGACACCCGGACCAGCACUGACACUGAGGCACGAAAGCGUGGGGAGCAAACGAGGGAUUAGAUA
This 453-nucleotide ribosomal RNA is filed under the name uncultured bacterium. RNAcentral describes it as "bacterial SSU rRNA". It matches the Rfam family "Bacterial small subunit ribosomal RNA", at positions 340 to 784 of the family's 1533-position model. The record is from RNAcentral.